Molecule: ribosomal RNA, 237 nt
Filed under: uncultured eukaryote
Lineage: Eukaryota
Description: partial 18S ribosomal RNA
Rfam family: Eukaryotic small subunit ribosomal RNA
Source: RNAcentral
CGUAGUUGGAUUUCUGACAAGAGUAAUCGGUCCAAACCUUCGGGUUUGUGUACUUGGUUUUCUCUAGUCAUCCUUAUGGAGAACGUGCUUGGCAUUAGGUUGUCGGGUACGGGACCCAUAUCAUUUACUGUGAAAAAAUUGAGUGUUCAAAGCAGGCAAUCGCUGUGAAUACAUUAGCAUGGAAUAAUAAGAUAGGACUUUGGUACUAUUUUGUUGGUUUGCAUACCAAGGUAAUGA